This 843-nucleotide ribosomal RNA is filed under the name uncultured beta proteobacterium. Its description in RNAcentral is "bacterial SSU rRNA". It matches the Rfam family "Bacterial small subunit ribosomal RNA", at positions 60 to 893 of the family's 1533-position model. The record is from RNAcentral. Lineage: Bacteria; Pseudomonadati; Pseudomonadota; Betaproteobacteria.
AGUCGAACGGCAGCAUAGAGAGCUUGCUCUCUGAUGGCGAGUGGCGAACGGGUGAGUAAUAUAUCGGAACGUGCCCAGUAAUGGGGAAUAACUAGCCGAAAGGUUAGCUAAUACCGCAUACGACCUACGGGUGAAAGCAGGGGAUCUUAGGACCUUGCGUUAUUGGAGCGGCCGAUAUCUGAUUAGGUAGUUGGUAGGGUAAAGGCCUACCAAGCCGACGAUCAGUAGCUGGUCUGAGAGGACGAUCAGCCACACUGGAACUGAGACACGGUCCAGACUCCUACGGGAGGCAGCAGUGGGGAAUUUUGGACAAUGGGGGAAACCCUGAUCCAGCCAUUCCGCGUGAGUGAAGAAGGCCUUCGGGUUGUAAAGCUCUUUCGUGAGGGAAGAAAUUUUAUUGUCGAAUAAACAGUAAAGAUGACGGUACCUUAAGAAGAAGCACCGGCUAACUACGUGCCAGCAGCCGCGGUAAUACGUAGGGUGCGAGCGUUAAUCGGAAUUACUGGGCGUAAAGCGUGCGCAGGCGGUCUUAUAAGUCAGAUGUGAAAUCCCCGAGCUCAACUUGGGAACUGCGUUUGAAACUGUAAGACUAGAGUGUGUCAGAGGGAGGUAGAAUUCCACGUGUAGCAGUGAAAUGCGUAGAGAUGUGGAGGAAUACCAAUGGCGAAGGCAGCCUCCUGGGAUAACACUGACGCUCAUGCACGAAAGCGUGGGGAGCAAACAGGAUUAGAUACCCUGGUAGUCCACGCCCUAAACGAUGUCUACUAGUUGUUGGUGGAGUAAAAUCCAUGAGUAACGCAGCUAACGCGUGAAGUAGACCGCCUGGGGAGUACGGUCGCAAGA